Molecule: ribosomal RNA, 504 nt
Filed under: uncultured bacterium
Lineage: Bacteria
Description: bacterial SSU rRNA
Rfam family: Bacterial small subunit ribosomal RNA
Source: RNAcentral
GACUAACGUUGGCGGCGUGCAUAACACAUGCAAGUCGAGCGGGGUCCAUCCAGUGGCAACACUGGUGAAGACCUAGCGGCGAACGGGUGCGUAACACGUGAGCAACCUGCCCCGAAGUCUGGGAUAACACCGGGAAACCGGUGCUAAUACCGGAUGUCCCCACCGGACCGCAUGGCCUGGUGAGGAAAGAUUUAUCGCUUCGGGAGGGACUCGCGGGCUAUCAGCUUGUUGGUGGGGAACGGCCUACCAAGGCAUCGACGGCUAGCUGGUCUGAGAGGACGACCAGCCACACUGGGACUGAGACACGGCCCAGACACCUACGGGUGGCAGCAGUCGAGAAUUUUGACAAUGGGGGAAACCCUGAUCGAGCGACGCCGCGUGGAGGAUGAAGGUCUUCGGGUUGUAAACUCCUGUCAUUUGAGAAACAAGGUGCACCGGUUAACUGCCGGUGCAUUGAUAGUAUCAGAAGAGGAAGAGACGGCUAACUCUGUGCCAGCCGCCGCC